UUAACACAUGCAAGUCGAGGGGCAGCAUUUCAGUUUGCUUGCAAACUGGAGGUGGCGACCGGCGCACGGGUGAGUAACACGUAUCCAACCUGCCGAUAACUCGGGGAUAGCCUUUCGAAAGAAAGAUUAAUACUCGAUGGUAUAAUUAGACCGCAUGGUCUAAUUAUUAAAGAAUUUCGGUUAUCGAUGGGGAUGCGUUCCAUUAGGCAGUUGGUGAGGUAACGGCUCACCAAACCUUCGAUGGAUAGGGGUUCUGAGAGGAAGGUCCCCCACAUUGGAACUGAGACACGGUCCAAACUCCUACGGGAGGCAGCAGUGAGGAAUAUUGGUCAAUGGGCGCAGGCCUGAACCAGCCAAGUAGCGUGAAGGAUGACUGCCCUAUGGGUUGUAAACUUCUUUUAUAUGGGAAUAAAGUUUUCCACGUGUGGAAUUUUGUAUGUACCAUAUGAAUAAGGAUCGGCUAACUCCGUGCCAGCAGCCGCGGUAAUACGGAGGAUCCGAGCGUUAUCCGGAUUUAUUGGGUUUAAAGGGAGCGUAGGUGGACAGUUAAGUCAGUUGUGAAAGUUUGCGGCUCAACCGUAAAAUUGCAGUUGAUACUGGCUGUCUUGAGUACAGUAGAGGUGGGCGGAAUUCGUGGUGUAGCGGUGAAAUGCUUAGAUAUCACGAAGAACUCCGAUUGCGAAGGCAGCUCACUGGACUGCAACUGACACUGAUGCUCGAAAGUGUGGGUAUCAA
This 735-nucleotide ribosomal RNA is filed under the name uncultured Bacteroidales bacterium. RNAcentral's name for it is "bacterial SSU rRNA". It matches the Rfam family "Bacterial small subunit ribosomal RNA", at positions 48 to 771 of the family's 1533-position model. Lineage: Bacteria; Pseudomonadati; Bacteroidota; Bacteroidia; Bacteroidales. The record is from RNAcentral.